CGGAGGGGCUAGCGUUGUUCGGAAUUACUGGGGCGUAAAGCGUACGUAGGCGGCUUUGUAAGUCAGAGGUGAAAGCCCACGACUCAAUCGUGGAACUGCCUUUGAGACUGCUUCGCUUGAAGAUGGGAGAGGUUAGUGGAAUUCCGAGUGUAGAGGUGAAAUUCGUAGAUAUUCGGAAGAACACCAGUGGCGAAGGCGGCUAACUGGACCAUUCUUGACGCUGAGGUACGAAAGCGUGGGGAGCAAACAGGAUU
RNAcentral lists this ribosomal RNA (254 nucleotides) under uncultured bacterium. Its description in RNAcentral is "partial 16S ribosomal RNA". It matches the Rfam family "Bacterial small subunit ribosomal RNA", at positions 527 to 779 of the family's 1533-position model. The record is from RNAcentral.